GAAAAUCUGAUUUAUUAACAUACCCAAAGGAAGGUAUUUUAUUUUAUCCUGAUAUUUUAUUCUGCAAAAUACUAUUUUAUUCUUUCAAAUAGAUUCUGACAACUUGGCACUCCUGAGGGAAAAGACAGCUCGUACGGGUAACAAGCGUGAAAAACUGACGGGAAGAGCUGAAAAAAAGAUGAACAAAAUUAAGAAGCUUAAAAAUUUUUCUGGAGGAUCAAAAACUUUGAAGCAAAGAACACAUUUCACAGCAAUGUCUUGUCAAAUGCUGCAGUUUCCAACAAAGGCUCUCUGAAAAGGGGGGCUUAUUAAAGAUCUGUUUUUAAAGAGAUGUAAUGCAGUUGCAUUUGAGAUCCUUUUAAGCAGAAUUCAAGACUGUACCAAAAUUCGGUUGAUCAUUUGCCAAUCAACUUGUCAAUUUGCUUUGGUAACUUUUUGAGUACGCCCACUUGCUACAUUUGACGCUCUGGAGCCCAGGGUACUUUUUGAGCAAAGAGUCUUAGACUGGUUGUUAAAGACUUUGUGUCAGUCAAGAAAGCUGCCAAAUAAAUAAAAACUUAAGAAGAAAGUUUUCGAAAAGCAGACUUGAAAUUGGAAUAAGGUCAAAAAUCUCUAUUUGCUGACAUAUCUAUAAUAAACCAUCAGUGAAAAUAUGAAUGCAUAAAGGAAAACUUCUAGAUUUUCGUCUCAGCGCUUUGAAAAAAUUGAUUUUAUCCAAUCCGACUUACCGAGUAUACAUACAAUCAAUGGCAAUUCACUAUCUAGAGUAGCCAAUGGUCCACUUAGAAAAGAACUUUCGCGAGUUUAACACACAUUUGAAUCAACUAUAGGCUCUGGCAUGGCUUCUUUUGUCCACAUAUCCUCCUAGAAUGUGCUCCGUCUUCUACAACCCCCCCUUCCAAUAUUGCAUCCCUGACCAUAGCAUCGCAAAAGUAGUGGAAAUUGACAGCAAGCGAGAAACAAGGAUAAGUACUGAAUUCCUGGGAUAUCACAUAAAUACUACGAUCAGUCACCGACCUAAAUUAUUUAUUACAAUUUGGUUAAAAUCUAUUUCACAAGUAGACAGCUAUCUAAAAGAUUUGGUUUCAAUUACGAAACUAAUUACACGAAAACGCAUACCCGUUUACACCCACUGAUAAAGAAACAUAUUCUUUCAUUGCAAAAUUAACGAAGCCAAGUUUUACGAUG
Long non-coding RNA from Rhopilema esculentum, 1188 nucleotides. RefSeq lists it as uncharacterized. NCBI's taxonomy places the organism in Eukaryota, Metazoa, Cnidaria, Scyphozoa, Rhizostomeae, Rhizostomatidae. The record is from RefSeq and is a predicted model, not a curated record.